GACGUAACAUGCUUAGCCCGACAAGGUUUCUUGUUGAGUGCUGAGUCGUGUUUGUCAUCCAUCUGGGAAAAACUGUUAUGCUUCACUGCAUUGACAGUCUUACCCAGAUCUUUUACUUUGAAAAAAUUAGAGUGUUUAAAGCAGGCUUUUGCUAUGAAUACAUUAGCAUGGAAUAAUAAUCUAGGACUUCGGUUCUAUUUUGUUGGUUUCUAGGGCUGAAGUA
Molecule: ribosomal RNA, 223 nt
Filed under: uncultured fungus
Lineage: Eukaryota; Fungi
Description: partial small subunit ribosomal RNA
Rfam family: Eukaryotic small subunit ribosomal RNA (bases 46-223)
Source: RNAcentral